GUAAGCGGGUGGAGUUGAACUGCAAGCUCUGAGAAUUCAGCUGGUGAGUGUGGUUUGAGCUUGGUCAAGUCGGUUGGACCUCGGAGUCUGUGUAGCAACAGGCCUUUGCCUUUCUGGGUAGAGGUGCGCGAUGCACUUAUCAAGUGUUGUGCGCUCCGGGUGUUCUUCGGGCCGACUCGCCAGUGCACUUUCUCAGAGUAGUCACCACGACCGGCACUGCUGUCUGGCUGGUGCGGUUAAACCGGUCUUGCAUUGUCCUUGUGGCUUUGCUUGGUCGGGAUGGCAGGUAGCUUGUUGGCUGGCUUGUGGUUCGCUGCAAUCGGUCUUCGAGUGUAAUCAGCUGACCGUAUCGGUUCUGUGCAGUGUGUCGGAGACGGCGGCUUUUGUGUGUGCGUGCGUGCCAGGUUGGCCGGCGUGUUCGAGUUCUGGUUGUUCCGUAGCCUGUGAAUGCAGGCCUGAUGAUGGCUCGGAUUCGUUCGGUCAACGGUUGCGUGCGUGACACUUUUCAUGGGCCAAUAGUCUGUGGUGUAGUGGUAGACUAUCCACCCGACCCGUCUUGAAACACGGACCA
RNAcentral lists this ribosomal RNA (571 nucleotides) under Microphallus sp. nov. 1 IBC-2010. RNAcentral describes it as "eukaryotic LSU rRNA". The record is from RNAcentral. Lineage: Eukaryota; Metazoa; Platyhelminthes; Trematoda; Plagiorchiida; Microphallidae.